UAUUCAUGACUUGCCAUAUACAGGUCAACCGUUCAAGAUGCGCUCGGAUGUUAAUUGUCUUUCUUUUUGGAGUUUUCAGGUCAUAGCUCUUCAAUUAUAGCGAACCUGGUGAAUGAUCAAAGUAAAACUCUUAACGGAAGUCCCGUUCACUAGAGAGAGAGAGAGAGAGAGAGAGGUGUGGCAAAAACUAUUCCACCUGUACAGUGACAUGAUGAAUACUGUAGGUUCUUUCACA
Rhodamnia argentea is the source of this 235-nucleotide long non-coding RNA. RefSeq lists it as uncharacterized. The record is from RefSeq and is a predicted model, not a curated record. NCBI's taxonomy places the organism in Eukaryota, Viridiplantae, Streptophyta, Magnoliopsida, Myrtales, Myrtaceae. The transcript is spliced from 2 exons.